RNAcentral lists this small RNA (125 nucleotides) under Bacteroidota bacterium. RNAcentral describes it as "6S RNA". It matches the Rfam family "6S-Flavo RNA". RNAcentral also lists the same sequence under 1 other name. Lineage: Bacteria; Pseudomonadati; Bacteroidota. The record is from RNAcentral.
ACUCAACACUAUUUUUUUAAAAAGGGUGAGUCUAAGCUAGUAAAGCAUGCCGUAUGUGUAAAUUUAUUUACCAUCGCGGAUUCUUGAUCAGCCAGUUAGCCCUAAACUUGUCUUACAAGGAGUUU